Long non-coding RNA from Tribolium castaneum (red flour beetle), 756 nucleotides. RefSeq lists it as uncharacterized. Lineage: Eukaryota; Metazoa; Arthropoda; Insecta; Coleoptera; Tenebrionidae. The transcript is spliced from 2 exons. The record is from RefSeq and is a predicted model, not a curated record.
UAUACGGUUAAAAUUCAGAAACGACCCUAAAUCCCUUUAAACAAUUUACAAUUUUUGAAAAUAUAUUUGACCCUAAUUUUUAUAAUUUGAAAAUAUCAAAUAUUAUCAGUUUAUUACGUUAUAGUCUUUUUAAACUCGUGAUGGAAAUAAAAUUAGACUUUACGUCAAAAAGCAAUUGAUUACAACCAGGAAUCAAAAGAUAGCAAUUUUUCGUUUAAGUAAAAUUAUCUUUUUCUCAAGCACGGUUCAGAAAAUGGUUUUGUUAAGUGUUUUCCCUGGUAGAACAACAUAAUUACGUAAAAACUAAAUAGUUCAUGAUAAAGAUUGCUGAUUGUGUUUGCAUCUACCAGUCACACAUAUUGAAAACCAAUACCAAACAAUGAAUUAUUGAAUACAGCCACGUUAAAGCCACUAAUAAUUCAUUCCGUAAUUUAAGUAUUGAUUGUUAAAAAACCUAUUUAUUUUUUUCACUCCUUGUAAGGCAAAAACAAAAAUUGUCGCUCUUGUUGUUUUUAAACAACAGUAAAUUCUACUAAUGCUAUGAAUUCCAAUAAUCAAAUAAAUAAUCAGUUCUUAUUUACCAAAGAACCGAGACCAAAGUAACAAUAAACAUGGAAUGUUCCAGUUCUGAAAAAUUUGGAAACAUAAAUAUCGCUUUAUACUUACUUGCGGAAAUUACUUAAUAUGUAAAAAGACAUUGUGGAUGUAUUUUCUUGUAAAUUGAAAACACAAAUUAAACCAAUAGCACAGAUGUGA